This 691-nucleotide ribosomal RNA is filed under the name Micrococcus sp. BAB-5151. Its description in RNAcentral is "bacterial SSU rRNA". It matches the Rfam family "Bacterial small subunit ribosomal RNA", at positions 796 to 1482 of the family's 1533-position model. The record is from RNAcentral. Lineage: Bacteria; Bacillati; Actinomycetota; Actinomycetes; Micrococcales; Micrococcaceae.
CAUGCCGUAAACGUUGGGCWCUAGGUGUGGGGACCAUUCCACGGUUUCCGCGCCGCAGCUAACGCAUUAAGUGCCCCGCCUGGGGAGUACGGCCGCAAGGCUAAAACUCAAAGGAAUUGACGGGGGCCCGCACAAGCGGCGGAGCAUGCGGAUUAAUUCGAUGCAACGCGAAGAACCUUACCAAGGCUUGACAUGUUCUCGAUCGCCGUAGAGAUACGGUUUCCCCUUUGGGGCGGGUUCACAGGUGGUGCAUGGUUGUCGUCAGCUCGUGUCGUGAGAUGUUGGGUUAAGUCCCGCAACGAGCGCAACCCUCGUUCCAUGUUGCCAGCACGUCGUGGUGGGGACUCAUGGGAGACUGCCGGGGUCAACUCGGAGGAAGGUGAGGACGACGUCAAAUCAUCAUGCCCCUUAUGUCUUGGGCUUCACGCAUGCUACAAUGGCCGGUACAAUGGGUUGCGAUACUGUGAGGUGGAGCUAAUCCCAAAAAGCCGGUCUCAGUUCGGAUUGGGGUCUGCAACUCGACCCCAUGAAGYCGGAGUCGCUAGUAAUCGCASAUCAGCAACGCUGCGGUGAAUACGUUCCCGGGCCUUGUACACACCGCCCGUCAAGUCACGAAAGUUGGUAACACCCGAAGCCGGYGGCCUAACCCUUGUGGGGGGAGCCGUCGAAGGUGGGACCAGCGAUUGGGACU